This 251-nucleotide unclassified non-coding RNA is filed under the name Hevea brasiliensis (rubber tree). Lineage: Eukaryota; Viridiplantae; Streptophyta; Magnoliopsida; Malpighiales; Euphorbiaceae. The record is from RNAcentral.
GGAAAUCAUGAUUAAAACCGAAAUAUUCUCUCAAGAAAUGCUCCACUGUUUCCCCUGUUUCGAGUUUAUGCUUUAAAUCUCCAUAUUGUGAUGUAAUCAAUCCGUUUAAGGUCCAAGCUACAGGACAUAUCCAAUAGUACCAUUUCCACCACACAGGGAUCCUAGGUUGUGGGAUCAUGAAUCCUGAAAAUAGGUUCCACAUUCCAUAAACUGCAACAUUGAUGGUGGAUGCAAAAUGCUGGUUUGGUGAC